RNAcentral lists this ribosomal RNA (465 nucleotides) under uncultured bacterium. RNAcentral's name for it is "bacterial SSU rRNA". It matches the Rfam family "Bacterial small subunit ribosomal RNA", at positions 338 to 795 of the family's 1533-position model. The record is from RNAcentral.
CCUACGGGAUGCAGCAGUGGGGAAUAUUGCACAAUGGGCGCAAGCCUGAUGCAGCCAUGCCGCGUGUGUGAAGAAGGCCUUCGGGUUGUAAAGCACUUUCAGCGGGGAGGAAGGCAAUACGGUUAAUAACCGUGUUGAUUGACGUUACCCGCAGAAGAAGCACCGGCUAACUCCGUGCCAGCAGCCGCGGUAAUACGGAGGGUGCAAGCGUUAAUCGGAAUUACUGGGCGUAAAACGCACGCAGGCGGUCUGUCAAGUCAGAUGUGAAAUCCCCGGGCUCAACCUGGGAACUGCAUCUGAUACUGGCAAGCUUGAGUCUCGUAGAGGGGGGUAGAAUUCCAGGUGUAGCGGUGAAAUGCGUAGAGAUCUGGAGGAAUACCGGUGGCGAAGGCGGCCCCCUGGACGAAGACUGACGCUCAGGUGCGAAAGCGUGGGGAGCAAACAGGAUUAGAUACCCUCGUAGUC